GAUGAACGCUGGCGGCGUGCCUAAUACAUGCAAGUCGAGCGAACAGACGAGGAGCUUGCUCCUCUGACGUUAGCGGCGGACGGGUGAGUAACACGUGGAUAACCUACCUAUAAGACUGUGAUAACUUCGGGAAACCGGAGCUAAUACCGGAUAAUAUAUUGAACCGCAUGGUUCAAUAGUGAAAGACGGUUUUGCUGUCACUUAUAGAUUGAUCCGCGCCGCAUUAGCUAGUUGGUAAGGUAACGGCUUACCAAGGCAACGAUGCGUAGCCGACCUGAGAGGGUGAUCGGCCACACUGGAACUGAGACACGGUCCAGACUCCUACGGGAGGCAGCAGUAGGGAAUCUUCCGCAAUGGGCGAAAGCCUGACGGAGCAACGCCGCGUGAGUGAUGAAGGUCUUCGGAUCGUAAAACUCUGUUAUUAGGGAAGAACAAAUGUGUAAGUAACUAUGCACGUCUUGACGGUACCUAAUCAGAAAGCCACGGCUAACUACGUG
This 497-nucleotide ribosomal RNA is filed under the name uncultured bacterium. RNAcentral describes it as "partial 16S ribosomal RNA". It matches the Rfam family "Bacterial small subunit ribosomal RNA", at positions 28 to 507 of the family's 1533-position model. The record is from RNAcentral.